This 635-nucleotide long non-coding RNA is filed under the name Linum usitatissimum (flax). RNAcentral describes it as "long non-coding RNA (LUSI_LNC002656)". Lineage: Eukaryota; Viridiplantae; Streptophyta; Magnoliopsida; Malpighiales; Linaceae. The record is from RNAcentral.
UGGGUGGUAGCUACACGGACGGUGGUGACUCCGGCGGCAGGUCCAGUCAGCCGAACCCGUACAACGUAGUCAUUGAUGCCAAUCAGUUGAAGCUCCCCGCCACCAGUUCCCCCCAGGUAAGGUCUGAUCUCCGACAGCACCUGCAAUCAAAUCACACUCAUCUAGUGAUCAUUUUUUUUAUAAAAUUGAUGGGUUCCAACGAGCUCUUGUGUCAAGCUUCGAACGUGCCAAGCUCGAGCUCGAUAAGCGACAUAAACAAGCCGAGCUUGAGCUUCAUCGAACUGAGCUCGAGCAUGUAAUUUCAACCAAACCGAGCUCGAGCUUGUUUGUGCAAGCUCGGGCCGAGGUAUAAAUUCAGAGCCGAGCUCGAGCUGGACAAAGCUCGGAUUGAUUCGGCUUGUGAACAGCUCUGUUUAUGAAACAAGAUGAUAUGCAAACCUUCUCAACAUUGUCGUCGUUCAACUCUAACCCGGUCUCAGUAUCCAUGAUCUGCUCAACCGACAUGAUCUCAGGUAUCUUAUCACGGAGGCGAGUCUCGAUCCCCAUCUGAAGCGUCAUAGCAGAACUCGGGCAUGAACCACAAGCGCCUUGAAGCUUCAACACCACCACCAGUCCGUCUAUCUCGUGGAGAGCAA